GGCCGACUAGCUCAGUUGGUUAGAGCGUCGUGCUAAUACGGUUUGUCGGUGAGCGCGUGACCGGUAAUUCCACGCUCUUACCGAGGGACUUGAUACGCGAAGGUCUUGGGUUCGAUCCCCACGUUGGCCA
This is a non-coding RNA of Suillus decipiens, 130 nucleotides long. NCBI's taxonomy places the organism in Eukaryota, Fungi, Basidiomycota, Agaricomycetes, Boletales, Suillaceae. The record is from the annotation of a GenBank genome assembly.